AUUGAACGCUGGCGGCAGGCCUAACACAUGCAAGUCGAGCGGAUGAAGGGAGCUUGCUCCUGGAUUCAGCGGCGGACGGGUGAGUAAUGCCUAGGAAUCUGCCUGGUAGUGGGGGAUAACGUCCGGAAACGGGCGCUAAUACCGCAUACGUCCUGAGGGAGAAAGUGGGGGAUCUUCGGACCUCACGCUAUCAGAUGAGCCUAGGUCGGAUUAGCUAGUUGGUGGGGUAAAGGCCUACCAAGGCGACGAUCCGUAACUGGUCUGAGAGGAUGAUCAGUCACAUGGAAACUGAGACGGGGACAAGCCCCCUCGGGGAGGCAGCAGGGGGGAAUUUUGGAAAAGGGGCAAAGGCCUGAUCCCGCCAUCCCGCGUGGGGAAAGAAGGUCUUCGGAUUGUAAACCUGUUUAAGUUGGGAGAAAGGACAAGAAGUUAAUCCCUUGUUUUUUGGACUUUCCAAAAAAAAAAGACCCCGGCUACCUUCGUC
This 484-nucleotide ribosomal RNA is filed under the name uncultured bacterium. RNAcentral's name for it is "partial 16S ribosomal RNA". It matches the Rfam family "Bacterial small subunit ribosomal RNA", at positions 30 to 507 of the family's 1533-position model. The record is from RNAcentral.